RNAcentral lists this long non-coding RNA (226 nucleotides) under Mytilus galloprovincialis (Mediterranean mussel). Lineage: Eukaryota; Metazoa; Mollusca; Bivalvia; Mytilida; Mytilidae. The record is from RNAcentral.
AUCUAUAUGACAAAUAAUAUGGAUUCUGAGUACUUUUAUGUGAAAAAAUUGCAAAAAAAGCUACUUCCGGUUUUCUAAAGGUCACUUCCGGUAGCCAUUUUUCAAGGUCAUUUGUCAUUUAACCUUUUGUAUAAGGUCAAAUGUCUUUAUAAUGAACUUAAUUGAAGUUAUAAUCAAAUAACUUCAUAUCAAGACAUUUCAGGGGCAUCAACUCCUAUAAGAUGCC